This is a small nucleolar RNA of Papaver somniferum (opium poppy), 125 nucleotides long. The record is from RefSeq and is a predicted model, not a curated record. NCBI's taxonomy places the organism in Eukaryota, Viridiplantae, Streptophyta, Magnoliopsida, Ranunculales, Papaveraceae.
GAGCAAAUCCAUCUAAAUUAAUUAUGAUGUGACAUUUGCAUUGAAGGUUGGCAAUAAUAAUAGUCGAUUCUCCGUGCCUAUCAAAAUUUCAAUUUUGAAUAAGGCCUCGAACAAGUCGCUACAUC